This 27-nucleotide non-coding RNA is filed under the name Bombyx mori (domestic silkworm). Lineage: Eukaryota; Metazoa; Arthropoda; Insecta; Lepidoptera; Bombycidae. The record is from RNAcentral.
UAACACUAAAUUGGCCGAAGCGAUUCU